GUCCCCAUCGUCUAGAGGCCUAGGACACCGCCCUUUCACGGCGGUAACGGGGGUUCGAAUCCCCCUGGGGACG
Molecule: transfer RNA, 73 nt
Organism: Psychrobacter arcticus 273-4
Lineage: Bacteria; Pseudomonadati; Pseudomonadota; Gammaproteobacteria; Moraxellales; Moraxellaceae
Rfam family: tRNA
About the family: Transfer RNA (tRNA) molecules are approximately 80 nucleotides in length. Their secondary structure includes four short double-helical elements and three loops (D, anti-codon, and T loops).
Source: Rfam